This 293-nucleotide ribosomal RNA is filed under the name Anaticola anseris. RNAcentral describes it as "partial 12S ribosomal RNA". The record is from RNAcentral. Lineage: Eukaryota; Metazoa; Arthropoda; Insecta; Psocodea; Philopteridae.
ACACGGAUAUCCUAAUCAUAUGGAGUAAACUUUUGAAGGUUUAAAAAGUAAAUUGGGUGGCAGUUUUAAGUUGUAGUAGAGAAGUAUGUUUAGUAAUCGAUUCACACGACGAUCUCACCUUCUAUUGAACUAUUCAUUUCACACACCUCCGUCUGAAGGGUUUAAUAAAUCCCUAAAACUGUUAAAGUAGUAAGUCAGGUCAAGGCGUGGACUAUGAGAAGGUUUAAAUGUACUUUAUUGAUUUAGACAGAUUAUUUUUGUAACAGGAUAAGCAAGUAAAAUUUACAAGCACU